Molecule: ribosomal RNA, 147 nt
Filed under: Geotrichum candidum
Lineage: Eukaryota; Fungi; Ascomycota; Dipodascomycetes; Dipodascales; Dipodascaceae
Description: partial 28S ribosomal RNA
Rfam family: Eukaryotic large subunit ribosomal RNA
Source: RNAcentral
CCCGCUGAACUUAAGCAUAUCAAUAAGCGGAGGAAAAGAAACCAACAGGGAUUGCCUUAGUAACGGCGAGUGAAGCGGCAAAAGCUCAAAUUUGAAAUCGGCCCCCAGGUCGAGUUGUAAUUUGUAGAUUGUAUCUUGAGAGCGGAU